Molecule: long non-coding RNA, 218 nt
Organism: Erinaceus europaeus (western European hedgehog)
Lineage: Eukaryota; Metazoa; Chordata; Mammalia; Eulipotyphla; Erinaceidae
Exons: 3
Source: RefSeq, a predicted model, not a curated record
UGGAAAUCCUGUGGGUGUCUGACAGCCUGGAGAAGACUGGGAGAGCCAACAGCAGGGCCAGGAGGUCCCUAGUUCUAGGCUGGCCUAAUUGCAGCAUCGUGAUCUCCUUUUAUUCUCUUGGAGAUAAGGAGGAAUGGCUUUUCUGUCUGCGCAGCUUUAUUAAACUUGCCAAAAAUAAAGCCCAGCCUGAGAACACUUCCUUGGACACAAUCAUAGAA